UCUAGAAGUUUUUUGCAUUCCUGACACACUCACAGUGACACAGUUCAGUGCCGUUGUGAGCCAGUGAUCUCUGUGGCCUGUGGCAAGGCUACACACUACACACACACAGCGACUUACUAACAAUCAACGUAUUCAUUUCAAGUACCGAGGUGUGUCUCUUGUGGGAACGAUUUUUUUAGCGUGGGUUUUGACCCCCUGACUUUGUAAACGAAGAACAGUCUUAUCUAUUUGGGCCCUGACCUUCUAGGCCCUCUGGAUCUUUAACACCUCGGGCCCUGCCCCUGUAUGCCAUCAAGACCUGAGCUACUGUGUGUCACCUAUUAGGACAAGUAUUUCCAAGUUCACCAGCCAUGGCCAUGCAGCCCCGUAGCACUUCCACAUAUUUCUAUCGGAUCCGGAAGGUUUUCGACAUGCCACAGCUUAAGCGGACACGCUACUCCCCAGAUGCGUGGUUUCUUGGAAACCUUGGCUUCCGUGCGUAUUAUGUAAGAUGCACUCAUUCUGCAUCCACCAUUAACAUAGGGCUGUACCUGAGUCACUGCCAGACCCCCAUGCCUCGGCCUGUGAGGGCACGCAUCGGUGUGAUGGAUUUAACAGAAAGCAACCAUCAGCCAGUGCUGCUAGCUGAUGAGACAAGGAAUGAGGUGGAGGACUGGGCCAGGGGUAUGGAGGUGGAAGUGAACAUUGACAGAUUUCACAAGUACCAAAUGCGUGGUGCCAUUCUGUUUCGAUUUGAUGUGGAAGUGCUAUGAAAUUGUUUCAGGAACGUGAGUGUGGGGAUGAUGUUUUCCUUGAGUUCUGAUGGGACAGAGGUCCUAAGUGUACUGUUUUUACAUAAAAUUGACAGUUUUUGUUAGUCAAAGAAGUGCAUAAAGUGCAAGUAGGUCUUGUGUGCAUAAAAUAUGAUGCUAUGUGAUACAUGUUUAUUAACAGUAAUUAACAUUGUUUUGUACCUUCUCCA
Molecule: long non-coding RNA, 961 nt
Filed under: Aplysia californica (California sea hare)
Lineage: Eukaryota; Metazoa; Mollusca; Gastropoda; Aplysiida; Aplysiidae
Description: uncharacterized LOC101864674, transcript variant X2
Source: RNAcentral